RNAcentral lists this ribosomal RNA (408 nucleotides) under uncultured microorganism. Its description in RNAcentral is "bacterial SSU rRNA". It matches the Rfam family "Archaeal small subunit ribosomal RNA", at positions 330 to 745 of the family's 1478-position model. The record is from RNAcentral.
GUGCAGCAGGCGAGAAACUUUACAAUGUGCGAAAGCACGAUAAGGGAACUCUGAGUGCCUCCUAAGGAGGCUGUUCUGAUGUCUAAAAGCAACAGAAGUAAGGGCUGGGUAAGACCGGUGCCAGCCGCCGCGGUAACACCGGCAGCCCAAGUGGUAGCCACGUUUAUUGGGUCUAAAGCGUUCGUAGCCGGCCAGGUAAGUUCCUUGGUAAAUUUAGCCGCUUAACGGUUAAGCUUUCAGGGAAUACUGCUUGGCUUGGGACUGGGAGAGGUCAGAGGUACUCCGGGGGUAGGGGUGAAAUCUAUUAAUCCCUGGGGGACCACCGGUAGCGAAGGCGUCUGACCAGACCAGGUCCGACGGUGAGGGACGAAGGCUAGGGGCGCGAACCGGAUUAGAUACCCCCGUAGU